RNAcentral lists this long non-coding RNA (1240 nucleotides) under Marmota monax (woodchuck). The record is from RNAcentral. Lineage: Eukaryota; Metazoa; Chordata; Mammalia; Rodentia; Sciuridae.
UGUUAAGUUAAAGAAUAUCAGCAAUUUCAGAAUAGACUCUUCCAUAUGUUGCUGUGUCUUUUUAAAUUUUUAAUCAAUAAUGUUAAAGAAAUAGAAGUGAUAUGAUGAGAGAUGAUGACCAUGACCAUUUGUUCUUUUAUUAUGCAGUAACUUCUGAGUACCUCCUAUGUCUUAGUCCCACACUAGACUAGAAUCACAAGUCAUGGGCUGUAUCAUUAAGAUCAAAGUCUGGCUGAGCACAGUGGUACCUGCCUGUAAUCCCAGCAACUCAGGAAGCUGAGGCAGGAGGGUCUCAAGUCGGAGGACAUCCUUAGCAACUUAGUGAAACCCCGUCUCAAAAUGAAAAUUAAAAAGAGACUGGGGGUGUAACUCAGUGGUACACUAUUCCUGCGUUCAAACCCCAGAACAGAAGAGGAGGAGGAAGAGGAGGAGGAGAGAGAGGAAAGAAGAAGAAAAGGAGAGAAGAGGAGGGGGAGGGAAAAUAAGAGGGUGAAGAUAUCAGUCUGGCUGAGAAGCAAGCUUGCAAAUCAACAAGAAUGUAGUGUUGUCAUAUUGAAUUAUGGGAUAUUUGGUAGGAACACAAAGCAAAUGGUCAAUACUUGGAAAUUUUAAUCAGAAACAGUUUCAUAGUGAAGAAGCUGUUUCAGGUGAGACUUAAGAGAGACAAAAAGAAAAAAGUAUUCCAGAUAGAAGGAGCAGUUUGAAUAACAGCCUAGGAGCUUGACUUCCCAUCAUAUAUUGUAAGGAUCAUAUAACCAGUCUGACAUGACUUGGAAAUAGUACAUGUGGUAGUGAUUGAAAUUAAAGAUGGCAUAGAUUUACGUGGAGGUGUGACAUCAGAGAUCCCCCAAACCUUGUGGAAAUAACAGAAUACUGAUAUCUGCAAAGGAUACAUUUUUAGCAACAACACAACAUACCAUCAGGCAUUAGAGACUUCUUUGUAUGCAUAGGUUCUUGAGUCUCCAUACAUGAUAGUGUUAGGGAAGAUAACCAGAUGAUGUCUCAUCAAGUCUCAGAUAACUUUAGAUUAGGGAUGACUAAGUCAUGCUGCCCCAAAUGCAUCACCCAAAAUACCCAGAAAAAUUACUUUAGCAUGCCAAGCCCCGUAGGUUCUAUCAUUUCCUGGGCAACCAGUGCCAUCUGAUGCCAUUGUUCACAGCUGUAUAACCUAGUACAGGUAAUGGACAUGAAGAGGUUGCACUGAAAUCACAUAUUGAUGGUGUCCUUGAACCUAAGCAAU